RNAcentral lists this ribosomal RNA (209 nucleotides) under uncultured bacterium. RNAcentral's name for it is "partial 16S ribosomal RNA". It matches the Rfam family "Bacterial small subunit ribosomal RNA", at positions 568 to 774 of the family's 1533-position model. The record is from RNAcentral.
CUCGUAGGCGGCCAACUAAGUCAGACGUGAAAUCCCUCGGCUUAACCGGGGAACUGCGUCUGAUACUGGAUGGCUUGAGAUUGGGAGAGGGAUGCGGAAUUCCAGGUGUAGCGGUGAAAUGCGUAGAUAUCUGGAGGAACACCGGUGGCGAAGGCGGCAUCCUGGACCAACACUGACGCUGAGGAGCGAAAGGCCAGGGAAGGCAAACG